UACGUAGGUGGCAAGCGUUAUCCGGAUUUAUUGGGCGUAAAGGGAGCGUAGGCGGACUUUUAAGUGAGAUGUGAAAUACUCGGGCUCAACUUGAGUGCUGCAUUUCAAACUGGAAGUCUAGAGUGCAGGAGAGGAGAAUGGAAUUCCUAGUGUAGCGGUGAAAUGCGUAGAGAUUAGGAAGAACACCAGUGGCGAAGGCGAUUCUCUGGACUGUAACUGACGCUGAGGCUCGAAAGCGUGGGGAGCAAACAGG
This 253-nucleotide ribosomal RNA is filed under the name uncultured bacterium. RNAcentral describes it as "partial 16S ribosomal RNA". It matches the Rfam family "Bacterial small subunit ribosomal RNA", at positions 524 to 776 of the family's 1533-position model. The record is from RNAcentral.